UCCGAGUUGACCCCGGCAGUCUCUCACGAGUCCCCGCCAUUACGCGCUGGCAACAUCGAACGAGGGUUGCGCUCGUUGCGGGACUUAACCCAACAUCUCACGACACGAGCUGACGACAGCCAUGCAGCACCUGUGAUCGAGUCCCGAAGGAGGGCCGUAUUUCUACGGCUUUCCCGACCAUGUCAAGCCUUGGUAAGGUUCUUCGCGUUGCGUCGAAUUAAACCACAUGCUCCGCUGCUUGUGCGGGCCCCCGUCAAUUCCUUUGAGUUUCAGCCUUGCGGCCGUACUCCCCAGGCGGAGUGCUUAAUGCGUUUACUGCAGCACUAAAGGGCGGAAACCCUCUAACACUUAGCACUCAUCGUUUACGGCGUGGACUAC
This 378-nucleotide unclassified non-coding RNA is filed under the name uncultured bacterium. RNAcentral describes it as "contains 16S-23S intergenic spacer region". The record is from RNAcentral.